Molecule: ribosomal RNA, 253 nt
Filed under: uncultured bacterium
Lineage: Bacteria
Description: partial 16S ribosomal RNA
Rfam family: Bacterial small subunit ribosomal RNA
Source: RNAcentral
UACGAAGGGGGCUAGCGUUGUUCGGAAUCACUGGGCGUAAAGCGCACGCAGGCGGAUUGAUAAGUCGGGGGUGAAAUCCCGGGGCUUAACCUCGGAAUUGCCUUCGAUACUGUCUGUCUUGAGUUCGGGAGAGGUUGGCGGAAUUCCUAGUGUAGAGGUGAAAUUCGUAGAGAUUAGGAAGAACACCAGUGGCGAAGGCGGCCAACUGGCCCGAAACUGACGAUCAUGUGCGAAAGAGUGGGGAGCAAACAGG